This 94-nucleotide transfer RNA is filed under the name Candidatus Kerfeldbacteria bacterium. RNAcentral's name for it is "tRNA-Ser". It matches the Rfam family "tRNA". Rfam says of the family: Transfer RNA (tRNA) molecules are approximately 80 nucleotides in length. Their secondary structure includes four short double-helical elements and three loops (D, anti-codon, and T loops). Lineage: Bacteria; Candidatus Kerfeldiibacteriota. The record is from RNAcentral.
GGAGAGGUGGCUGAGUGGUUGAAAGCGGCAGGUUGCUAACCUGUUAUGCGGGGUUAAACCCGUAUCGAGAGUUCGAAUCUCUCCCUCUCCGCCA